Molecule: ribosomal RNA, 642 nt
Filed under: uncultured bacterium
Lineage: Bacteria
Description: bacterial SSU rRNA
Rfam family: Bacterial small subunit ribosomal RNA
Source: RNAcentral
CGCGGCCUAUCAGCUUGUUGGUGGGGUGAUGGCCUACCAAGGCGACGACGGGUAGCCGGCCUGAGAGGGCGACCGGCCACACUGGGACUGAGACACGGCCCAGACUCCUACGGGAGGCAGCAGUGGGGAAUAUUGCACAAUGGGCGGAAGCCUGAUGCAGCGACGCCGCGUGAGGGAUGACGGCCUUCGGGUUGUAAACCUCUUUCAGCAGGGACGAAGCGAGAGUGACGGUACCUGCAGAAGAAGCGCCGGCCAACUACGUGCCAGCAGCCGCGGUAAGACGUAGGGCGCGAGCGUUGUCCGGAUUUAUUGGGCGUAAAGAGCUCGUAGGCGGCUUGUCGCGUCGUCCGUGAAAACCCACGGCUUAACUGUGGGCUUGCGGUCGAUACGGGCAGGCUGGAGUUCGGUAGGGGAGACUGGAAUUCCUGGUGUAGCGGUGAAAUGCGCAGAUAUCAGGAGGAACACCGGUGGCGAAGGCGGGUCUCUGGGCCGAUACUGACGCUGAGGAGCGAAAGCGUGGGGAGCGAACAGGAUUAGAUACCCUGGUAGUCCACGCUGUAAACGUUGGGCGCUAGGUGUGGGGGGCCUCUCCGGUUCUCUGUGCCGCAGCUAACGCAUUAAGCGCCCCGCCUGGGGAGUACG